Molecule: ribosomal RNA, 634 nt
Filed under: Cosmophorus sp. RDB-2000
Lineage: Eukaryota; Metazoa; Arthropoda; Insecta; Hymenoptera; Braconidae
Description: eukaryotic LSU rRNA
Rfam family: Eukaryotic large subunit ribosomal RNA
Source: RNAcentral
GAAACNCAAAANACGAAUGAGGAGAUCACGUCAGCUCAUUAGUAUAUAUAUGUGUUAUGAUAUGAGUUAUCCUUGUGAUGCUUGUACGUGCAUGUAUAUUUUAUUGCUUAAUGUUGUCGGCGUGCAUUUCUCUUCUAGUAGAACGUCGCGACCCGUUGGGUGUCGAUCUAUGGCCCAAAUGGGCAGCCUUUAAUUUUUUUUUAUAAAAAUUAAAGACCAUUGGUGUUCCUGAUCGACUGCUCGGCGGUAUCCGCACGAUAUUGAGUCGCAAAUUAUUUUUGCGUCAAGCCCAUCACAAGCGCGGUCAGUUAUUUAAUUUCCAGUAGUGCGGAUUUUAUGCCGUCACUGGAGCUGACCAGCUGUUGGUUGUAUGGUGUUCUUUGACUGGCUCGAAAUUUAAAUUAUCGGUCAGCGACGCUACUGCUUUGGGUACUUUCAGGACCCGUCUUGAAACACGGACCAAGGAGUCUAACAUGUGCGCGAGUCAUUGGGAUUUAUUUUUUAAAUUAAACCUAAAGGCGCAAUGAAAGUAAAGGCCAUCUUUAUGAUGACUAAGGGAGGAUGAGUUGCAUUACGAUGUCAGCUCCGCACUCCCCGGGGGUCUCAUUCUCAUUAUGAGAAGAGGCGCACCUAG